GGCCAGGCCCGGCGUGACGUCGGAGCGCCAACCCCGCCAGGGCCGGAAGGCAGCAACGGUACGCUCACUCCGUCGUGUGCGUCGUCAGCCUGGCCCUC
Molecule: signal recognition particle RNA, 98 nt
Filed under: bacterium
Lineage: Bacteria
Description: signal recognition particle sRNA small type
Rfam family: Bacterial small signal recognition particle RNA
About the family: The signal recognition particle (SRP) is a universally conserved ribonucleoprotein involved in the co-translational targeting of proteins to membranes. Archaeal SRP consists of a 7S RNA and homologues of the eukaryotic SRP19 and SRP54 proteins.
Source: RNAcentral